Molecule: long non-coding RNA, 1018 nt
Filed under: Lynx pardinus (Iberian lynx)
Lineage: Eukaryota; Metazoa; Chordata; Mammalia; Carnivora; Felidae
Source: RNAcentral
NCGGGGCAUUGAUGACAUCCUGGAGGAUUAGAUGGAGCCCGAUGGUAAGAGGCGAACUUUUUUUUUAAAUCUUUUUUAAUGUUUAUUUAUUUUUGAGAGAGAGAGAGAGAGAGACAGAGCACGAGCAGGGGAGGGGUAGAGAGAGAGGGAGACGCAGAAUCCGAAGCAGGCCCCAGGCUCCGAGCGCUCAGCACAGAGCCCGACGCAGGACUCGCACUCACGGACUGUGAGAUCAUGACCUGAGCUGAAGUCGGACGCUCAAGGGACUGAGCCGCCCAGGCGCCCCGAGUCAAACUUCUUGAUGGGGGGGAAGAGGAGACUGAGGUUCUGGACUCCUAGUCCAAGGAGGAAGGGGUUGGGGUCUGGAGUCCUGGGUCCUAGAGGUUGGGGACUUAGACGUCUGGAACCGAGGAUUAACAGAGUGGCGUCCGGAUCUCUGCCUGCCUAAGUUCACACUCCAUUCCUUCUGCAGACCAGCUGCCCCCCAUCCCCCUGGACUUCCCCGGCUCCUUCGACGUGCUGUCCCCCUCCCCAGACUCUGAAGGCCUCUCAUCUGUCUUCUCCUCCUCGCUCCCGUCCCCCACAAACUCCCCGUCGCCCUCUCCCAGGGGCCCCACGGAUUCCUUGGACUGGCUGGAGGCUCUGAGUGGGGGUCCUCUGCUAGGCUGUGGUCCCCCAGCCCCCAGCGUCUUCUCUGCUGACUUAUCUGACCCCAGUGGCACCCGGCUGUGGGACCUGCUGGACGAUCCGUGGUGAUGGAUUCUGGGGCUUCCAAAGAGGGGGCACUGGUGGGGAUGGGAAAGUCACAGAGGCAUACUCCCAAGGGAGGCGGGGGACAACCUGCAGAGCCCCUCCCACCAUGGACACAGAAUCAGAGAACACUCUCAUCCCCACGUGGCCCCUGAACGGCUGCUGACAUGCCGUCGGCCAGACUCUUGUCUGCCUGACCUCCGUAUGAUCUCCUCCAUGGCUGUGUGGUCCGUGUCCUUUGCUGCUGGCCAGGGCCAACAAACUGCUU